This 254-nucleotide ribosomal RNA is filed under the name uncultured bacterium. RNAcentral's name for it is "partial 16S ribosomal RNA". It matches the Rfam family "Bacterial small subunit ribosomal RNA", at positions 524 to 776 of the family's 1533-position model. The record is from RNAcentral.
UACGGGGGGAGCAAGCGUUGUUCGGAUUUACUGGGCGUAAAGGGCGCGUAGGCGGCCAUCGCAAGUCAAUUGUGAAAUCUCCGGGCUUAACUCGGAACGGCCAAGUGAAACUGUCAUGCUAGAGUGCAGAAGGGGCAAUCGGAAUUCUUGGUGUAGCGGUGAAAUGCGUAGAUAUCAAGAGGAACACCUGAGGUGAAGACGGGUUGCUGGGCUGACACUGACGCUGAGGCGCGAAAGCCAGGGGAGCAAACGGG